GUGUGUGUGUGUGUCGCCCCAAGCAGGAGAAAAAGAGGAGAAACCCUAAAAUCCUUGAAGUUGCAAAAUUGAGAAGGGAAAUUGAAGCUAAUCAUAUGCAUGAAUCUGAAUGUGCAACCAUUUAAGCCUACUAAUCAAGUGGCAUAGGGAUCAUGUGGAAAUGGACUCAAGAACGGAAGGUUAACGGGUCAAGCGGAGGCGAGGAAGCAAGCAUGAACACUAACGCUCGAGGUUGCGUGGAUUUAGCAUCAUUAUGAAGGAUAGAAAGAUUGAAGAUCGAGUCAAGAGCAAAGGAUUGUACG
This 302-nucleotide long non-coding RNA is filed under the name Helianthus annuus (common sunflower). RNAcentral's name for it is "sRNA HanXRQr2_Chr17g0796081". Lineage: Eukaryota; Viridiplantae; Streptophyta; Magnoliopsida; Asterales; Asteraceae. The record is from RNAcentral.